GGUCUGAUGGCCGAGGGGUUAGGCACUGGUCUGCAAAACCAUUUACAGCGGUUCGAAUCCGCUUCAGACCC
RNAcentral lists this transfer RNA (71 nucleotides) under Rikenellaceae bacterium. Its description in RNAcentral is "tRNA-Cys". It matches the Rfam family "tRNA". Rfam says of the family: Transfer RNA (tRNA) molecules are approximately 80 nucleotides in length. Their secondary structure includes four short double-helical elements and three loops (D, anti-codon, and T loops). Further hydrogen bonds mediate the characteristic L-shaped molecular structure. tRNAs have two regions of fundamental functional importance: the anti-codon, which is responsible for specific mRNA codon recognition, and the 3' end, to which the tRNAs corresponding amino acid is attached (by aminoacyl-tRNA synthetases). tRNAs cope with the degeneracy of the genetic code in two manners: having more than one tRNA (with a specific anti-codon) for a particular amino acid; and 'wobble' base-pairing, i.e. permitting non-standard base-pairing at the 3rd anti-codon position. Lineage: Bacteria; Pseudomonadati; Bacteroidota; Bacteroidia; Bacteroidales; Rikenellaceae. The record is from RNAcentral.